GACGAACGCUGGCGGCGUGCCUAACACAUGCAAGUCGAACGAUAAGGUCGGGUCUAGGGUCCCCCGGCGGCGUAAGGGGGGGGAACCUGCCCUCAGGUUGGGCAUAACUUCGGGAAAGGGGUGGUAAUAGCGGACAAUGUCUGCGGACGAAUGAUUUAUUGGGGUGGGAUGGGCGCGAGUUGGAGCAGGGAGUUGGUAGGGUAAGAGCCUACGAAGGCUGCGACGGGUAGGCGGCCUGAGAGGGGGACCGGCCACACUGGGACUGAGACACGGCCCAGACGCGUACGGGAGGCAACAGUGGGGAAUAUGGGACAAUGGACGAAAGCCUGAUCUAGCAACGCCGCGUGAGGGAUGACGGCCUUCGGGUGGUAAACCUCUGUCGCCUGCGACGAAGCGAGAGUGACGGUAGCAGGUAAAGAAGCACCGGCCAACUACGUG
This 438-nucleotide ribosomal RNA is filed under the name uncultured bacterium. RNAcentral's name for it is "partial 16S ribosomal RNA". It matches the Rfam family "Bacterial small subunit ribosomal RNA", at positions 28 to 507 of the family's 1533-position model. The record is from RNAcentral.